AUAAGGCAUCAGGUAGCAGAAGUUCGAUCAUGUCAGAUUGAACUGGCGGAUGCACACACAUGCAAGUCGAACGGCAGCACGGACUUCGGUCUGGUGGCGAGUGGCGAACAGAUUGAAGUAAUGUAUCGGACGACCCCUAUAAUCGCUUGGGAUAACUUUACUGGCCUUAGCUAUAUACCGCAUCUCGCCCUUCAGGAAAGCAGGACCUUCAAGACUCGCACUAUUAAACGGCCGAUAUCAGGAUUAGCUGGUUGGUGGGAGUAACGGCUCACCAAGGCGACGAUCCGUAGCUGGUUUGAGAGGACGACCAGCCACACUGGGACUGAAGAGACGGCCCAGACUCCUGCCAGGAGGCAGCAGUGGGGUACGGACAAUGGAAACCUGAUCCAGCCAUCCCGUGUGCGAUGAAGGCCUUCGGGUUGUAAAGCACUUUUGGCAGGAAAAACGGCACGGGAUAAUACCCGAUGCAACUGACAGUACCUGCAGAAUAAGCACCGACUAACUACAUUAACAGCCGCGGUAAUACAUAGGAGUGCAAGCGUUAAUCGGAAUUACUGGGCGUAAAGCGUGCGCAGGCGGUUCGGAAGAAGAUGUGAAAUCCCAGGCUAACUUUGGAACUGCAUUUUUAACUACCGAGCUAGAGUGUGUCAGAGAGUGGGAGUCACAUGUGCUAGUGAAAUGCGUAGAUACCGGAGGAACACCGAUAGCGAAGGCAGCCUCCUGGGAUAACACUGACGCUCAUGCACGAAAGCGUGGGGGCAAACAGGAUUAGAUGCCCUGGUAGUCCACGCCCUAAACAGUGUCAACUAGCUGUUGGGGCCUUAAAGGCACAUGGUAGCGCAAUAACGCGUGAAGUUGACCGCCUGGGGAGUACGGUCGCAAGAUUAAAACUCAAAGGAAUUGACGGGGACCCGCACAAGCGGUGGAUGAUGUGGAUUAAUUCGAUGCAGCACUUGAAAAACCUUACCUACCCUUGACAUGUCUGGAAUCGAAGAGAUUUGGGAGUGCUCGCAAAGGAAGGGAACGGAACACAGGUGCUGCAUGGCUGUCGUCAGCUCGUGUCGUGGCAGAUGUUGGUUGAGUCCGCAACGAGCGCUUGGCCCUUGUCAUUAGUUGCUACGAAAGGGCACUCUAAUGAGACUGCCGGUGACAAACCGGAGGAAGGUGGGGAUGACGUCAGAAUCCAUGGCCUGCAUCAGGUAGGGCUUCACACGUCGCAAAUGGUCAAGGACAGAAGGUCGCCAACCCGCGAGAGGGGGCUAAUCCGAAACCCGAUCGUAGUCCGGAUGCUGAUCUGCAUCGGCUGUGAAGUCGGAAUCGCUAGUAAUCGCGGAUCAACUGUCGCUGGUGGAGGCCAUUCGGGUCUUGUACACCGCCCGUCACACCAUGGGAGUGGGUUUUACCAGAAGUAGUUAGCUAACGUAAGGAGGGCGAUUACCACAGUAGGAUUAUGACUGGGGUGAAGUCGUAACAAGGUA
This 1478-nucleotide ribosomal RNA is filed under the name uncultured Bordetella sp. Its description in RNAcentral is "partial 16S-23S ribosomal RNA intergenic spacer". It matches the Rfam family "Bacterial small subunit ribosomal RNA". The record is from RNAcentral. Lineage: Bacteria; Pseudomonadati; Pseudomonadota; Betaproteobacteria; Burkholderiales; Alcaligenaceae.